AGCAGCCGCGGUAAUUCCAGCUCCAAUAGCGUAUAUUAAAGUUGUUGCAGUUAAAAAGCUCGUAGUUGAAUUUCGGGGUCAGUAAGUUGGUCGUGCCACCGGUACGUACUGGUCUCACUGAUUCCUCCUUCCUGAAGAACCGUAAUGCCAUUAAUUUGGUGUUGCGGGGAAACAGGACUGUUACUUUGAAAAAUUAGAGUGUUUAAAGCAGGCUAACGCUUGAAUACAUUAGCAUGGAAUAAUGAAAUAGGACGAUCGAUCCUAUUUUGUUGGUUUCUAGGAUUGACGUAAUGAUUAAUAGGGAUAGUUGGGGGCAUUAGUAUUCAAUUGUCAGAGGUGAAAUUCUUGGAUUUAUUGAAGACUAACUACUGCGAAAGCAUUUGCCAAGGAUGUUUUCAUUAAUCAAGAACGAAAGUUAGGGGAUCGAAGACGAUCAGAUACCGUCGUAGUCUUAACCAUAAACUAUGCCGACUAGGGAUCGGAUGAUGUUAAUUUUAUAAUGACUCAUUCGGCNCCUUAC
RNAcentral lists this ribosomal RNA (520 nucleotides) under uncultured Glomus. RNAcentral's name for it is "SSU rRNA". It matches the Rfam family "Eukaryotic small subunit ribosomal RNA", at positions 569 to 1091 of the family's 1831-position model. Lineage: Eukaryota; Fungi; Glomeromycota; Glomeromycetes; Glomerales; Glomeraceae. The record is from RNAcentral.